UGGGGAAUAUUGCACAAUGGAGGGAACUCUGAUGCAGCGACGCCGCGUGAGUGAUGAAGGAAUUCGUUUCGUAAAACUCUGUUCUAUGGGAAGAAAAGGACUGUACCAUAGGAGAAAGCUCCGGCUCAAUACGUGCCAGCAGCCGCGGUAAUACGUAUGGAGCGAGCGUUGUCCGGAAUUAUUGGGCGUAAAGGGUGCGCAGGCGGCUUUACAAGUUGGAUGUGAAAUAUUGUGGCUCAACCACAAACGUGCAUCCAAAACUGCAAAGCUUGAGUUAAGGAGAGGUAAGUGGAAUUCCUGGUGUAGCGGUGGAAUGCGUAGAUAUCAGGAGGAAUACCGGUGGCGAAGGCGACUUACUGGACUUAAACUGACGCUCAGGGACGAAAGCGUGGGGAGCAAACAGG
This 404-nucleotide ribosomal RNA is filed under the name Fusobacteriota bacterium. Its description in RNAcentral is "Fusobacteria bacterium partial 16S ribosomal RNA". It matches the Rfam family "Bacterial small subunit ribosomal RNA", at positions 355 to 776 of the family's 1533-position model. The record is from RNAcentral. Lineage: Bacteria; Fusobacteriati; Fusobacteriota.